AUGGCUAAAGCUAAACGGGACAGUUCUUUUUGCGAGAAGACAGGUAUGGCGGGCGGUGGGAUGAUAGUUCAGGAUGCAAAAGGGGAGAUAAUCCUAUCAUCAUGUCGGGUCCUAUACACUUUCGUGGAACCCCUUGAAGCUGAGCUAUAUGCGUGCAUGGAGGGCUUAUCCCUAGCAUGCCAAUGGACCCAACGUCCAAUUGAAGUGGAGACUGAUUUCUUAGUGGCGUUCAACAUGCUUAUGGCAUCAGGUAUUGACAGGUCAAGAUAUUCUAUGCUGGUUGCCGAAGCUAGAAGGCUUAUGAAAGACGAGAGGGAGUUCAAGCUACGCCUUGUAUAG
RNAcentral lists this ribosomal RNA (339 nucleotides) under Triticum aestivum (bread wheat). RNAcentral describes it as "partial small subunit ribosomal RNA". The record is from RNAcentral. Lineage: Eukaryota; Viridiplantae; Streptophyta; Magnoliopsida; Poales; Poaceae.